GGAUUAGCCAUGCAAGUCGAGCGAUCCUUGCUUGAAACUUGUUGGAGUGCUUGCACAAAGAUAAGUGGAUGGUAGGGAUAGCGGCAAACGGGUGAGGAACACGUGAGUAACUUGCCCUUAAGACAGGGAUAGCUUCGUGAAAACGGAGGUAAUAUCUGAUGUGCCCCUGACAUCACAUGAUGACUUGGGUAAAGGUGGGGACCGCAAGGCCUACCGCUUAGGGAUGGACUCGCGUCCUAUCAGCUUGUUGGUGGGGUAACGGCCUACCAAGGCGUUUGACGGGUAGCUGGUCUGAGAGGAUGGUCAGCCACACUGGGACUGAGACACUGCCCAGACUCCUACGGGAGGCUGCAGUCGAGAAUAUUUAGCAAUGGGCGAAAGCCUGACUAUGCGACGCCGCGUGAGGGAUGAAGGGUUUCGGCUCGUAAACCUCUUUUGUCAGGAAAGAACAUUCUAUGGUUAAUAGCCAUAGAACUGACGGUACCUGACGAAUAAGCCACGGCCAACUCCGUGCCAGCAGCCGCGGUAAUA
This 531-nucleotide ribosomal RNA is filed under the name uncultured bacterium. Its description in RNAcentral is "bacterial SSU rRNA". It matches the Rfam family "Bacterial small subunit ribosomal RNA", at positions 46 to 525 of the family's 1533-position model. The record is from RNAcentral.